ACUCCUACGGGAGGCAGCAGUGGGAAUCUUGGACAAAUGGGGGCAACCCGUAGCAUCCAGCCAUGCCGCGUGAGUGAAUGAAAGGCCCUUUAGGGGUCGUAAAAGCUCUUUCGCCUGUGAUGAUAAUGACAGUAGCAGGUAAAGAACCCCGCACAUCCGNGCCAGCAGCCGCGGUAAUACGGAGGGGUUAGCGUUGUUCGGAAUUACUGGGCGUAAAGCGCGCGUAGGCGGAUUAGUCAGUUAGAGGUGAAAUCCCAGGGCUCAACCCUGGAACUGCCUUUAAUACUGCUAGUCUUGAGUUCGAGAGAGGUGAGUGGAAUUCCGAGUGUAGAGGUGAAAUUCGUAGAUAUUCGGAGGAACACCAGUGGCGAAGGCGGCUCACUGGCUCGAUACUGACGCUGAGGUGCGAAAGUGUGGGGAGCAAACAGGAUUAGAUACCCUGGUAGGCUCUGCU
This 454-nucleotide ribosomal RNA is filed under the name uncultured bacterium. Its description in RNAcentral is "bacterial SSU rRNA". It matches the Rfam family "Bacterial small subunit ribosomal RNA", at positions 335 to 801 of the family's 1533-position model. The record is from RNAcentral.